CGGGUGAGUAACACGUAUCCAACCUGCCGUCUACUCUUGACAGCCUUCUGAAAGGAAGAUUAAUACAAGAUGGCAUCAUGAGUCCGCAUGUUCACAUGAUUAAAGGUAUUCCGGUAGACGAUGGGGAUGCGUUCCAUUAGAUAGUAGGCGGGGUAAUGGCCCACCUAGUCUUCGAUGGAUAGGGGUUCUGAGAGGAAGGUCCCCCACAUUGGAACUGAGACACGGUCCAA
This 230-nucleotide ribosomal RNA is filed under the name uncultured bacterium. RNAcentral describes it as "partial 16S ribosomal RNA". It matches the Rfam family "Bacterial small subunit ribosomal RNA", at positions 103 to 334 of the family's 1533-position model. The record is from RNAcentral.